Molecule: non-coding RNA, 2508 nt
Organism: Pelodiscus sinensis (Chinese soft-shelled turtle)
Lineage: Eukaryota; Metazoa; Chordata; Testudines; Trionychidae
Source: RefSeq, a predicted model, not a curated record
GCCCAGCAUGUAUAGGGGGAGGAGGGGAAAGGUGGGAAUAAUAGGGGGCGGAGAGGCUGCUUUUGUCCGCUGAUUUGGCAGCCUGUUGCCGGGGGCAGCCAGGUUGCUGGGGGGAGGGAGGCAGCUUGUUAGUUGGGGGAGGAGGGCACCUUGUUGCUGGGGGAAGGAGGGCAUGCAGGCUGCGAGGCCGCAGCAGGCAUGGGGAGGCACUUUUCCUCCGCUGGCAGCUCUGCGGGACACCUUUCCCAGUGGCCAGUUACUGCUGCAGGCAGAAGCCAGAGCCGGAGGAGCCAGCCCGAGGAGGAGGAGGUGGAUCCUAGGAUCCAGGGUAAGAAAUGAAGUUCUUAUCUCAGCAGGAUCAUCAUCUGGAGACUUCCUAAUACACUACAGUUGCUACAAUUAAUAAGUAUGCUGUUUUGCUGUGAUGCCAAAUGAACACAGGAUUUUGACUUUACUAUUGUUUCAAGCUGGGUUGAAGGAAGUUUAAUGGAGCAGCACCAAUCUCGCAAGUGCACCACCUCCUGAUCAAGCAUACAAGCAAUCUCUCCAUGUAUCUGUCAGUGGUUUCUCAGGCAGCUUUCAGUGAAUCAGCUCUCCGGCUGAGUCAUAAAAACUGUAUAUGAAAAAAAACCAAACCCAUUUUGAGGUAUAAAGUCUUUCACUUGUCUUGCCCCUUAGGCCUUCCUUCUGGAGACAAUGUUUUCUUGCAGUCCUCCCUGUUUACCAUGCAUACUUAGUUGCAGCAGCCAGCCAGGAGCUCCCUCUUAACAACUAUAGUCCCUUCUUACACCCAUGGCCCUGCUUGUCUUUCAGUCACCCAGUCAGGAAUUCAGUUCUCUCUCCUCUAGCUCUAGGCAGUAACUGGCUAGUUUGAUCCUAUGGCAUCAUUAUGUACGGUCCUUCUGGUUACAGAUUUGUCAUUCUAACAGCCCCUCUGAUUGGAUGCUCUCCUGCAGCCAUACUAGACUGCCUGAAGGAUUUCUCCCUUGCUUUUUUCCCCGAGGGGCAGGGUGAGACAAGGCCAUUGGACCUAUUUCACGCCAUCACAGGAAGGGAAAUACCAAAGGAAAUAUCUGAAAAAGCAAUACAGAAAAUGGUUGAUCCAGCAAUCAUUACUCAUGUGAUUAAUCAUCAUUUUCUGUAAGUCAAUGGCGCUACAUGGGUAAAUAAACAGUUCUCUCGCAUUAUGUACUACAGGAUCAGUCCUAAAGCUUCAUCAAGUUAAUUUCUUUUCUAUUCUCUUUUGUCGAAUUGGUUUUAAUGAAGGGAUAUCUCUUUAAAAUCUAAAACAAGGUGAGAUUGUUUCUUACACAAAGCCACACACAUUUGAUCACAUUUUAGCAAUCAAAGCAUGACAUCUUCAGUGGUGUAUUCAUAAAUAAGCACUAAAAUAUGUUUAUAAAAAUGAAAGAAAAGGUUUGGUAUUCUUUCUGACUAACAUCAUCUGGUGAUAUGUCAUGUUCAAUGUGUCUAGAGAGAUCAAUUUAAAAAAAAAGCUCUUGAAACCAGAAAUCAAACCAUUGUAACCACAAUGUUGCAUGCUGUUUUUCUAGAACUGAAAGACAUUAGAAGGUUGGUAGCAGUAGGCUAAGUUGGUCAGUGUCUUAAAAAAUGGAAUUAUGCAUAGCUGUUAAACUGUGAUAAAAUAAAGGCCAAAGUCAGUCAGUGACAGGCAAAUACAAAUUGUGGUCUAAAGAUUAUAGGCUCAAUUUUAAACAUGGGGAUAGACUGCAGCAUUUAAAAUUCUUCUACUGCUGUUUCUAACUGUGCUAGUUUAACCAUGCAUGAAUAUUCUCUUUUUAGUAUGGAACAUUUUUCUAAUCUUCCUAGUUGGGAUCCGUUCCACAAAACACCUAGCAAUUAUAACACUUAAAGGUUUUCAAAAGUGUUUUUAAAACUGUGUUCAUGCUCUAAUAUGAGGCAAGUUUUUAUUAUUUUGAACCCUGUUUUUGGUUUUUAUAUCAGUGACAGGUUCUCAGAACAGUAAGGCUAACAAGUGUGUGGCGUUAUUGAAGAAGAACAGACAAACAAUAAAGUCUUUGAUGGGCAGACUGGAAAAAAUUGCUUUAAAACACUUGGGAUUGUUCUUUUUUUUUCUACAGUUGCACUAUCCCUACACAUUUUUGAUGUUUCCUUGCAUUUUGAACUAACAUUUCUGUUGAUAAUAAACUUGAAGAAAUAUGGAAAAAUAAUAUGACUAAUUGCCACUGGUAUACAAAUAAAAUUUUUUAGCACUGGCACAAUGUUUGUCUGCCUUUAUGAACCAUAGUCAUGGAAAUCUACAAAAUCAACUAAUUCUAAAUUAAAUGCCUGGCAAAGACAUCCAUGCUACAUCUACACUGCAGGCUUCUUGCUCAAGAAUGGCAGUUCUUGUGCAAAAACUUGUGGAGCGUCUACACUGCAUAUGCGUUCUUCUGCAAGUAAAUUUAAAGUAAAGCGUCUGAACAGAGGGCUUUUUGUGCAAGAGUUAUUCCUCUCCCCAUGAGGAAUAAGCUCUGUUGCACAAGA